Molecule: long non-coding RNA, 3769 nt
Organism: Oncorhynchus mykiss (rainbow trout)
Lineage: Eukaryota; Metazoa; Chordata; Actinopteri; Salmoniformes; Salmonidae
Source: Ensembl
GCCAGUGAUCUCAUGGACAGCAGCCCCCUAAGGAACAUUGGAAGAGGCAAACAUGGCAAAAUCAAGAAACCACGUGGGGGACUUCUUGGAGGAGUUCAGAGAGCAGAUCAUUGCGCAGGUGAGAUUAUCUGGGCCCAUAGUAGACGCUGUGAUCUCACAACAUCUUAUCCCAGAAGAGCUGGCACACAGCGUCCGUGCAGCCCAGACCACACAAGACCAGAUGAGGGCUCUGUUUGAAGCCGUAGAGAGAGAGACACCACAAACCAAACUUGCAUUCCAUCUGAUAUUGAGACGGAAAGAGCCUGAACUCAUGGACAAGCUAGAGCAGAGACAACGAAACAGUAAGAUGACACAGACAGGAUUGGAUCAAAGGUAUGGAGAUACCACAACAUUAGAGGAUAAGACCACACCAAAACUUGGCAUACAGACAAAAAAGGAAUCUCUUAAGAGACGAAGACAAGAAACAAUGCAAGCAAUUGAGGAGAUUGAAAAACUUUGGGAGGGGUCAAGAAGGGAGAGAAAUGAAACUAACUACAUGAAAGCAAAGAUUAAGCAACAACAAGAGGAAAUAGAAAGGCUAAUGGCUGAGAAACAAGAGCAAAACACAAAGAUGGAGCUGAUGAGGAUGGAGAUCCAGAAUGUGAAUGAAAAACUGAAACAGAACAUGGAGGAAAUAAAUAUAGAGAAAGACGGAAUACGACAAAUGUGGGCUGAUGUCCAAACAGAGAAAGACAUUCUGGAGAGAAGAUACAAUGAGACCAUUAACGAGAGACAGAGUUUGGAAUUGAUCAAGUAUGAGACAUUGAGAGCAAAAGAGGAGAUGGAGCACUGCAAGGAAACAACCAAACAAGAGCAGGAGAAAAUGGAACAGAUUAAGGCUGACAUUCAGGGACAGAUAGAGGACAUGGAAAUAAGAAUUGCAGAAACCAAUCAAGUAAAAGAAAAAAUGGAAGCGAUGAAGGCCGAUGUACACAGGGAGCAAGGUCAGCUGGAGACAAAAAGAGAUGACAUUAAAAGACAAAAAGAACAGUUUGAGCAGAUUAAAUGUGAGAUAAACAAAGUAAAAGAAGAGAUGGAUCGAAGGUGGUAUGAAACGGAGAAAGAAGAGCUUGAGCAGAGAGUUAGGAUCCAGCAAGAGAAAGAGGAACUUGCCAACGUAAAAGCUGAGCUGCAGAGAGCAAAAGAGGAGGUUGAUCAAAACAGGGAGAAGACGAAGCAAGAGAAGGACCUGGUCAACAAAAUGAAAGCAGAAAUUCUUCUAGAAAAGGAUUCACUUGAGAAGGACAAACAAGAAACAUUACGAAAACAAAAGGAGUUGGAGCAGAUCAAGUAUGCGAUUCAAAUGGACAAAGAGGAGAUUGAGCAAAACAGAGAGGAAGCAAAGCGAGAGAAUGAUAAGAUGGAACAGAGGGAAGCUGAACUGCAGAGACAAGUGGAAAAGAUUGAGAGAAACAUUGAGGAGACAAAGCAAGAAAAUUACAGAAUGGAAAACGUAAAAGCAGAGAUACAGAGAACGAAAGAAGCCCUGGAGAAACAAAAAGAUGACACCAGGCGAGUGAAGGAGGAAAUGGAGAAAAGAAGGUAUGAGACUGUCAAGGAGGAGCUGGAGCAGAGAGCUGAAAUACAGAGACAGAGAGAAGAAGUGGAAAUGCUCAAGUCUGAAAUGCAGAAAGCCAAGGACGUUGAAAAAACAAGAGGAAACCGAGAGAGAGAGGAAGCCAAAAAGUGGAGUGAAGAAGUAAAACGACAGAGAGAUGGGAUCAAACAAUUGAGAGCUGAAGUUCAGAAGGAAAAAGACAACGUGGAGAGGAAAAAGCAAGAGACAAUGAGAGAGAGACAAGAAUUGGAGAGGAUUCAUUUUGAAACGCUGAGAAUGAAAGAGGAGAAUGAGCAAAGCAGGGAGAUCACAAGAAGAGAAAAGGAGCAAAUGGAGCAGAUGAAAGUUAAUAUACAGAGACAGAUAGAAGAUAUAGAAGAAAAAGUUACAGAGACAAAACAAGCAAAAGACAAAAUGGAAGAAAUGAAAGCAGAGAUACAGAGACAACGUGAAGAUUUGGAGAGUAGAAGGGAAAAGACAGAGAAAGAGAGAGCGCAUUAUGAAGAGGUUAAGUGUGAGAUAAUUCAAUUGAAAGAGGAAAUGGAAAGGAAAUGGUGUGAAACAGAGAAAGACGAGGUGGAACAGAGAGCAAGAGCGCAGCAAGAGACGGAAACACUUGAAAGGUUGAAGGAGGAAAAACAGAAAGUGCGAGAGGAAAUAGAAAGAAACAAGGUGGAAACGCAACGAGAAAGAGAGAACCUAGAAAAAAUGAAAGCCCGUGUGAAAGACGAGAAGAACAUUGCAGAGAAAAUAUCAGAAGAGGCCAAGAUAAAGAAUGAGGACUUAACGGAAAUGGAGCGUAACCUUCAGGAAGAAAGGGAAGAGAUCGAGAGGAGCAAGCAAGUCACAAAGCAAGAGAAGGAAGAGAUCGUAGAGAUGAAGGCUGAACUCCAAAGACAAAUGACAGAAAUAGAGAACCGUGUGAAGGAGACAAACAGAGCAAAAUAUGAGGUGGAUCAGGCAAAGCUGGUCGUACAAAAAGUGGAGUCCCAGCUGAAAAAGCAAAGAGACGAGGCUGGAAGAACAAAAGAGGAAAUUGAGAAACAGAGAUAUGAAGCAGUGAAAGAAGAGCUUGAGCAACGAGCUGAAAUCCAACGAGAAAGAGAAAUGUUGGAGAAAGUAAGAGACGAGAUACGGAGAGCCGAAGAAGACUCCGAAAAAACACAGCUUCAGAGCGAAAAAGGGGACUUACAAAAGAAGAUGGAUGAAAUACAGCAAGAGAGGGAGAUGCUUGAGCAAAUUAAAACAGAGGUUUUGUCAGAAAGGGCCAUGUUGAAAAGACAAAUCCAUGAAACCGCAAGAGAAAGAGAGGACUUGGAAUUGCUUCGGUGUGAGACCCUGGAGAAAAAGCUGGAGCUUGAGAAAAAGAAGGAUGAAGCUGUCAAGGAAGAGCUUGAACUGAGAGCUGAAAUGCAGAGAGAUAGAGAGGAGAUAGAGAGAACCAAGAAGAAAAUAGAGAGGGAGUUAAAACAAGGCAGGGAUGCCACAAGUCUAGAGAGAGGCGAAGUGGAACUGAUGAAGGUUGAAGUACAGAACCAGCAUGAGGAAAUGACUAGAUCCAUUGAGAGGACAAGGCAAGCCAGAGGCGAAGUGGAACGGAUGAAGGUUGAAGUACAGAACCAGCAUGAGGAAAUGACUAGAUCCAUUGAGAGGACAAGGCAAGCCAGAGACGUGAUGGAACAGAUGAAGGAUGAAAUUCAGAGAGAAAAACAACUUUUGGAGAGAAUAAGGGAAGAAACAAUAAGAGAGAAAGAACCCUAUGAAACGGUCAAGGAUGAGCUAAGCAGAGUAAAAGAAGAGAUGGAAAAACUCUGGGACGAGGUACAGAGGGACGAGCAGGAAGAGAGAGCCAAACUGCAUCGAGAUAAUGUGGAGCUGAAUAAGAGAAUGGAGGAAAUUAAGACAGAGAUUAACCAGAUAGAAACAAUUAAAUUUGACCUAGAGAGACAGAGAGAUGAGAUUGAAGCAAGGAUGGAGAAGACAAUGAGAGAGAUGGACAAGCUGGAACAAACAAAGGCUGAAAUACAAAGACAGAAAGAGGACAUUGAAAACAAGAUGACAGAAACAAAGAGUGAGAAAGAGGAGAUGGAAAGGAUCAAAUCUGAGAUACAGAAGCAGAAAGAGGAAAUUGAAAACAAAAUGCAACAAGCAGAGACAGAAAUGGAUGAGCUG